GGGGCUGUGGCUCAGUGGUAGAGUGCUUGCCUAGCAAGUACGAGGCACUAGGUUCGAUCCUUAGCACCA
Molecule: transfer RNA, 69 nt
Filed under: Ictidomys tridecemlineatus (thirteen-lined ground squirrel)
Lineage: Eukaryota; Metazoa; Chordata; Mammalia; Rodentia; Sciuridae
Description: Spermophilus tridecemlineatus (thirteen-lined ground squirrel) tRNA
Rfam family: tRNA
About the family: Transfer RNA (tRNA) molecules are approximately 80 nucleotides in length. Their secondary structure includes four short double-helical elements and three loops (D, anti-codon, and T loops).
Source: Rfam by way of RNAcentral